Molecule: ribosomal RNA, 600 nt
Filed under: uncultured bacterium
Lineage: Bacteria
Description: bacterial SSU rRNA
Rfam family: Bacterial small subunit ribosomal RNA
Source: RNAcentral
GAUGAACGCUAGCUACAGGCUUAACACAUGCAAGUCGAGGGACCGGCGCACGGGUGAGUAACGCGUAUCCAACCUGCCCAUGUCUGGGGAAUAACCCGUCGAAAGGCGGACUAACUCCCCAUGGACAUGGAUGGGGAUGCGUCUGAUUAGGUAGUAGGCGGGGUAACGGCCCACCUAGCCUACGAUCAGUAGGGGUUCUGAGAGGAAGGUCCCCCACAUUGGAACUGAGACACGGUCCAAACUCCUACGGGAGGCAGCAGUGAGGAAUAUUGGUCAAUGGACGAGAGUCUGAACCAGCCAAGUAGCGUGCAGGAUGACGGCCUAUGGGUUGUAAACUGCUUUUGCGCGGGGAUAGGUACCGCGCGAAUAAGGACCGGCUAAUUCCGUGCCAGCAGCCGCGGUAAUACGGAAGGUCCGGGCGUUAUCCGGAUUUAUUGGGUUUAAAGGGAGCGUAGGCCGUGAGGUAAGCGUGUUGUGAAAUGUAGGCGCCCAACGUCUGCACUGCAGCGCGAACUGCCCCACUUGAGUGCGCGCAACGCCGGCGGAACUCGUCGUGUAGCGGUGAAAUGCUUAGAUAUGACGAAGAACCCCGAUUGCGAA